GAACUCAAACAACUUUCAACAACUUCCUUUUGUAUAAGGAGUAACUAAAAAUCUAGAUACAAACCUAUAAUAGAAAGAUAGUAAACUACAAGUACUUAAAAUUUACGUGAAAUUUAACACCAAAAUACUUGAAGAGACACUCCACACACUAUCUGAUAACUAUUUCAAAACAAAUUUAGUACAAGCUAAAUAAUAUACAACAACACCUCAGCUAACAGGCUCAGAAUCAACCAAUACAACAGUUCGUAAUUGACUAGCCCACUACUCACCAGUAACCACCACAGAUCACUCAAAACUAAAGACUGAUAAACUAUAGUUACAUCAGUAAGAACAACAAAAUUUGUAUGUUAAAACUCGGCAACUAGUCUUCUACUGUUUAAUAAAAACAUUGUAACACAGAUGUGUUAUAACCUCCUGC
Molecule: ribosomal RNA, 418 nt
Filed under: Trichinella pseudospiralis
Lineage: Eukaryota; Metazoa; Nematoda; Enoplea; Trichinellida; Trichinellidae
Description: partial 16S ribosomal RNA
Source: RNAcentral